UGGGUUACUGGUAAAUAUUUGUAAAUGUUUGCAAUUUAUUUAAAUAAUUCUUAUUUAAAUAAUGAUAUUUGUAUGCGCUUCGAUGUUAUUUGUAUGUGAUUGACCGGAAAUUCUGUGCACCUGUAAUGUUGAAAUUUGUCCCUUUGGUGGCACCGUAGUUUGCACAAGGGAAGAUGAACCUUCAAGGUGGCUGUCGGGUGCGAAUGAUACGUAGCAUUGUUUGAGCUUAUAUGGAUUUUAUCUGAGAUUGUGUUUAUACAUGAAUUUAAACAACUUGACGCCCGUUUUAUGACGGAAGAAAGGAUUAUCCUAUAUUGUUUUGCAUUCCUUGGUGAGCGCAGUGAGGUACGAUAUGUUUCAUUCAUAAAUUGUUGCACAUAUGUAUGCUUUAUUUUGCUGUGUAAUUAACGUUUGUCAAUCUAAAUGUUUGUGUACUUAAUGACGCUUGUAACCGUGAGAACAAGUGUGUGAAAUGAUUGUUGUAUGUAUGUUUUCAAUACAGUUUUCACGGUGCUAAGGUGAUGAUGAAUUAAGGCUAAACGUCAUGCCGGUUUGACGAACGAAAUAAAGAACACCUUAUGCAUCAGUCGAGACUCUCUUCUUUGGAUCCAAGGGCUGCUACAGUGAAAACUCGACGCUAUAUUCAUCUGCUAUGCUGCACGACACGUCGUCAUCGUUCCUGAGGUUGCCAUUGUUUGUUCCACGCAUCCAAGCAAGGUCGUUAGUCAGUAGCACAUCUAACAGAGACUACAGAUGCGUUUUCACGGUGCUAAGGUGAUGAUGAAUUAAGGCUAAACGUCAUGCCGGUUUGACGAACGAAAUAAAGAACACCUUAUGCAUCAGUCGAGACUCUCUUCUUUGGAUCCAAGGGCUGCUACAGUGGAAAAGUUAAUUUUUUCAGUAAUUCAACUCAAAUUGUGAAACUUGUGUAUUAAAUAGAGUCAAAGCACACAGACUGAAGUAGUUUAAGUUUUUGGUUCUUUUGAUUGUGAUGAUUUUGGCUCACAUUUAACAAAAACCCACCAAUUCACUAUCUCAACAAAUUAGAAUACUUCAUAAGACCAAUAAAAAAAUUUUUUUAGUGAAUUGUUGGCCUUCUGGAA
This is a long non-coding RNA of Cyprinus carpio carpio, 1103 nucleotides long. The record is from Ensembl. NCBI's taxonomy places the organism in Eukaryota, Metazoa, Chordata, Actinopteri, Cypriniformes, Cyprinidae.